Molecule: ribosomal RNA, 294 nt
Filed under: uncultured soil bacterium
Lineage: Bacteria
Description: partial 16S ribosomal RNA
Rfam family: Bacterial small subunit ribosomal RNA
Source: RNAcentral
AGAACGAACGCUGGCGGCAUGCCUAACACAUGCAAGUCGAACGAGCUCUUCGGAGCUAGUGGCGCACGGGUGCGUAACGCGUGGGAAUCUGCCCUUGGGUUCGGGAUAACAGUUGGAAACGACUGCUAAUACCGGAUGAUGACUUCGGUCCAAAGAUUUAUCGCCCAGGGAUGAGCCCGCGUCGGAUUAGCUAGUUGGUGGGGUAAACGGCCCACCAAGGCAACGAUCCGUAGCUGGUCUGAGAGGAUGAUCAGCCACACUGGGACUGAGACACGGCCCAGACCUCCGUACGGG